RNAcentral lists this long non-coding RNA (730 nucleotides) under Ovis aries (sheep). Its description in RNAcentral is "lncRNA (ENSOARG00000026328.1)". The record is from RNAcentral. Lineage: Eukaryota; Metazoa; Chordata; Mammalia; Artiodactyla; Bovidae.
CAUUAACUUUGCUACGUAAAUAUCUGCUUCUCUGGUUGGCAAAGCACCUUGGGGCCUCAGUGAUAGGGACUACGUAAACGCAAAAGUGGCCUGGAAUGCAAAUAGCUUGGAGCUGUCUCAAAGAGCAAAGCUAUUAACCCCAGGGUUCUGGUCAAAUUCUAGCUUGGGCAAGUUUGCCAUGCAGAUUGAAAUCAGUGCCAUUUCAUCUGAAAGCAGCAUGACUCAGAGAAAGCACACCCUCUCCUGCAGUGUCCCUGUGCCUUGCUGCUGGCGGACAUUUAAUGUGCUCCAGCAUACCAGAGGCAGAGGCGCCGCGUGUAUUCAUCAUCACAAGGCCUUGAAGACCACCUCUGCCUGCAGUCCGUGCCCCAAGCCACACCUCAGGAAAGGAAGACCCUGGGGCUCCUUCAGAAAACGGUCCAUGGUCCUCUGGCCCAACUAGGACUUGGCGGUAUAAGCCAGGAGUACUCGCCAACUCCACCAACGAGGAAGUCAGCACAAGAGAUGGUUCAGUGACCAGCUCCCAUGACAAGUUACAUUGGAAUGAACCCUGUCAUCCUUGAGUUUCUCCCUCUGGCAUUUCCAAAGAAGCAGAUGAAAAUUAGGCGGGGUAGGGGGUGGAAUGUUGUUUUUCUAAGUUUCGGCGUGACGUUUAGCCCAUGUUAUUUGUUAUUACCUUCUGUUAAUUAAAAAACCAACUUUCAAAAUCCUUAAUAAAAGAAAAAAAAAC